This 379-nucleotide unclassified non-coding RNA is filed under the name uncultured bacterium. RNAcentral's name for it is "contains 16S-23S intergenic spacer region". The record is from RNAcentral.
UCCGAGUUGACCCCGGCAGUCUCCCAUGAGUCCCCGGCAUAACCCGCUGGCAACAUAGGAUAAGGGUUGCGCUCGUUGCGGGACUUAACCCAACAUUUCACAACACGAGCUGACGACAGCCAUGCAGCACCUGUCUCUGUGUCCCUUGCGGGCCGAUGAUAUCUCUACCAUCUUCACAGGAUGUCAAACCCAGGUAAGGUUCUUCGCGUUGCUUCGAAUUAAACCACAUGCUCCACCGCUUGUGCGGGCCCCCGUCAAUUCCUUUGAGUUUCAGUCUUGCGACCGUACUCCCCAGGCGGAGUGCUUAAUGUGUUGACUUCGGCACAGCAGGGGUCGAUACCCGCUACACCAAGCACUCAUCGUUUACGGCGUGGACUAC